AGACCCGAAACCCGGUGAUCUAGCCAUGGGCAGGUUGAAGGUUGGGUAACACUAACUGGAGGACCGAACCGACUAAUGUUGAAAAAUUAGCGGAUGACUUGUGGCUGGGGGUGAAAGGCCAAUCAAACCGGGAGAUAGCUGGUUCUCCCCGAAAGCUAUUUAGGUAGCGCCUCGUGAAUUCAUCUCCGGGGGUAGAGCACUGUUUCGGCAAGGGGGUCAUCCCGACUUACCAACCCGAUGCAAACUGCGAAUACCGGAGAAUGUUAUCACGGGAGACACACGGCGGGUGCUAACGUCCGUCGUGAAGAGGGAAACAACCCAGACCGCCAGCUAAGGUCCCAAAGUCAUGGUUAAGUGGGAAACGAUGUGGGAAGGCCCAGACAGCCAGGAUGUUGGCUUAGAAGCAGCCAUCAUUUAAAGAAAGCGUAAUAGCUCACUGGUCGAGUCGGCCUGCGCGGAAGAUGUAACGGGGCUAAACCAUGCACCGAAGCUGCGGCAGCGACACUGUGUGUUGUUGGGUAGGGGAGCGUUCUGUAAGCCUGUGAAGGUGUGCUGUGAGGCAUGCUGGAGGUAUCAGAAGUGCGAAUGCUGACAUAAGUAACGAUAAAGCGGGUGAAAAGCCCGCUCGCCGGAAGACCAAGGGUUCCUGUCCAACGUUAAUCGGGGCAGGGUGAGUCGACCCCUAAGGCGAGGCCGAAAGGCGUAGUCGAUGGGAAACAGGUUAAUAUUCCUGUACUUGGUGUUACUGCGAAGGGGGGACGGAGAAGGCUAUGUUGGCCGGGCGACGGUUGUCCCGGUUUAAGCGUGUAGGCUGGUUUUCCAGGCAAAUCCGGAAAAUCAAGGCUGAGGCGUGAUGACGAGGCACUACGGUGCUGAAGCAACAAAUGCCCUGCUUCCAGGAAAAGCCUCUAAGCAUCAGGUAACAUCAAAUCGUACCCCAAACCGACACAGGUGGUCAGGUAGAGAAUACCAAGGCGCUUGAGAGAACUCGGGUGAAGGAACUAGGCAAAAUGGUGCCGUAACUUCGGGAGAAGGCACGCUGAUAUGUAGGUGAAGUCCCUCGCGGAUGGAGCUGAAAUCAGUCGAAGAUACCAGCUGGCUGCAACUGUUUAUUAAAAACACAGCACUGUGCAAACACGAAAGUGGACGUAUACGGUGUGACGCCUGCCCGGUGCCGGAAGGUUAAUUGAUGGGGUCAGCGCAAGCGAAGCUCUUGAUCGAAGCCCCGGUAAACGGCGGCCGUAACUAUAACGGUCCUAAGGUAGCGAAAUUCCUUGUCGGGUAAGUUCCGACCUGCACGAAUGGCGUAAUGAUGGCCAGGCUGUCUCCACCCGAGACUCAGUGAAAUUGAACUCGCUGUGAAGAUGCAGUGUACCCGCGGCAAGACGGAAAGACCCCGUGAACCUUUACUAUAGCUUGACACUGAACAUUGAGCCUUGAUGUGUAGGAUAGGUGGGAGGCUUUGAAGUGUGGACGCCAGUCUGCAUGGAGCCGACCUUGAAAUACCACCCUUUAAUGUUUGAUGUUCUAACGUGGACCCGUGAUCCGGGUUGCGGACAGUGUCUGGUGGGUAGUUUGACUGGGGCGGUCUCCUCCUAAAGAGUAACGGAGGAGCACGAAGGUUGGCUAAUCCUGGUCGGACAUCAGGAGGUUAGUGCAAUGGCAUAAGCCAGCUUGACUGCGAGCGUGACGGCGCGAGCAGGUGCGAAAGCAGGUCAUAGUGAUCCGGUGGUUCUGAAUGGAAGGGCCAUCGCUCAACGGAUAAAAGGUACUCCGGGGAUAACAGGCUGAUACCGCCCAAGAGUUCAUAUCGACGGCGGUGUUUGGCACCUCGAUGUCGGCUCAUCACAUCCUGGGGCUGAAGUAGGUCCCAAGGGUAUGGCUGUUCGCCAUUUAAAGUGGUACGCGAGCUGGGUUUAGAACGUCGUGAGACAGUUCGGUCCCUAUCUGCCGUGGGCGCUGGAGAACUGAGGGGGGCUGCUCCUAGUACGAGAGGACCGGAGUGGACGCAUCACUGGUGUUCGGGUUGUCAUGCCAAU
This 2039-nucleotide ribosomal RNA is filed under the name Escherichia coli. RNAcentral's name for it is "partial 23S ribosomal RNA". It matches the Rfam family "Bacterial large subunit ribosomal RNA", at positions 711 to 2733 of the family's 2925-position model. Lineage: Bacteria; Pseudomonadati; Pseudomonadota; Gammaproteobacteria; Enterobacterales; Enterobacteriaceae. The record is from RNAcentral.